This 216-nucleotide long non-coding RNA is filed under the name Phoenix dactylifera (date palm). RNAcentral's name for it is "long non-coding RNA (PDAC_LNC014712)". The record is from RNAcentral. Lineage: Eukaryota; Viridiplantae; Streptophyta; Magnoliopsida; Arecales; Arecaceae.
UCCGAUGAGGCUAUAAAUGCCAUGACUUCCUCUGUGAGAUUCCAUCAACCACCCUUCACUGCCUCUUACCUUCUUUCUCCUGCCACAAGAAAUUGGAUUGGGAGCGGCGGCGCCGGAGGAGGAGGCACCCCAACUCGACAUCGUCACUCAUAGCUCCUUCCCGGAGCUAGGUGAGUCUUCUGAUCACUCUAUUCUUUCCAUUUCAUAUUCCGAUCU